CCUACGGGAGGCAGCAGUGAGGAAUAUUGGUCAAUGGCCGAUAGGCUGAACCAGCCAAGUCGCGUGAGGGAAGACGGCCCUACGGGUUGUAAACCUCUUUUGUCGGGGAGUAAAGCGAACUAUGUAUAGUUCAUUGAGUGUACCUGAUGAAUAAGCAUCGGCUAACUCCGUGCCAGCAGCCGCGGUAAUACGGAGGAUGCGAGCGUUAUCCGGAUUUAUUGGGUUUAAAGGGUGCGAAGGCGGAGGUGCAAUUCAGCGGUAAAAUUGGGGGGCUAAACCCAGUACUGCAGUUGAAACUGCAUCCCUUGAGUGCACGAGAGGUAUGCGGAAUGCGUGGUGUAGCGGUGAAAUGCAUAGAUAUCACGAAGAACUCCGAUUGCGAAGGCAGCAUACUGGAGUGCAACUGACGCUGAUGCACGAAAGCGUGGGUAUCGAACAGGAUUAGAUACCCUGGUAGUC
This 459-nucleotide ribosomal RNA is filed under the name uncultured bacterium. RNAcentral describes it as "partial 16S ribosomal RNA". It matches the Rfam family "Bacterial small subunit ribosomal RNA", at positions 338 to 795 of the family's 1533-position model. The record is from RNAcentral.